RNAcentral lists this ribosomal RNA (427 nucleotides) under uncultured bacterium. RNAcentral's name for it is "bacterial SSU rRNA". It matches the Rfam family "Bacterial small subunit ribosomal RNA", at positions 355 to 774 of the family's 1533-position model. The record is from RNAcentral.
UGGGGAAUUUUGGACAAUGGGCGCAAGCCUGAUCCAGCAAUGCCGCGUGCAGGAUGAAGGCCUUCGGGUUGUAAACUGCUUUUGUACGGAGCGAAAAGGUCUGCCCUAAUACGGUGGGCUCAUGACGGUACCGUAAGAAUAAGCACCGGCUAACUACGCGCCAGCAGCCGCGGUAAUACGUAGGGUGCGAGCGUUAAUCGGAAGUACUGGGCGUAAAGCGUGCGCAGGCGGUUAUGCAAGACAGAGGUGAAAUCCCCGGGCUCAACCUGGGAACUGCAUUUGUGACUGCAUAGCUGGAGUGCGGCAGAGGGGGAUGGAAUUCCGCGUGUAGCAGUGAAAUGCGUAGAUAUGCGGAGGAACACCGAUGGCGAAGGCAAUCCCCUGGACCUGUACUGACGCUCAUGCACGAAAGCGUGGGGAGCAAACA